This 435-nucleotide ribosomal RNA is filed under the name uncultured Oscillospiraceae bacterium. Its description in RNAcentral is "bacterial SSU rRNA". It matches the Rfam family "Bacterial small subunit ribosomal RNA", at positions 341 to 792 of the family's 1533-position model. The record is from RNAcentral. Lineage: Bacteria; Bacillati; Bacillota; Clostridia; Eubacteriales; Oscillospiraceae.
ACGGGAGGCAGCAGUCGGGAAUAUUGCGCAAUGGAGGAAACUCUGACGCAGUGACGCCGCGUAUAGGAAGAAGGUUUUCGGAUUGUAAACUAUUUUAGACAGGGAAGAACAAAGACAGUACCUGUAGAAUAAGCUCCGGCUAACUACGUGCCAGCAGCCGCGGUAAUACGUAGGGAGCAAGCGUUAUCCGGAUUUAUUGGGUGUAAAGGGUGCGUAGACGGGAAAGCAAGUUAGUUGUGAAAGCCCUCGGCUCAACUGAGGAACUGCAACUAAAACUACAUUUCUUGAGUACAGGAGAGGAAAGCGGAAUUCCUAGUGUAGCGGUGAAAUGCGUAGAUAUUAGGAGGAACACCAGUGGCGAAGGCGGCUUUCUGGACUGCAACUGACGUUGAGGCACGAAAGUGUGGGGAGCAAACAGGAUUAGAUACCCUGGUA